This 909-nucleotide non-coding RNA is filed under the name Ansonia hanitschi (Kadamaian stream toad). Its description in RNAcentral is "partial 12S ribosomal RNA". It matches the Rfam family "Bacterial small subunit ribosomal RNA". Lineage: Eukaryota; Metazoa; Chordata; Amphibia; Anura; Bufonidae. The record is from RNAcentral.
UUUUUACUUGAUAUACACAUGCAAGCAUCCACCUCCCUGUGAAAACGCCCUUUAACCCCCACUAGGAACAAGGAGCCGGUAUCAGGCACGAAAAAUCUGCCCAAAACACCUAGCUUUGCCACACCCACAAGGGAAUUCAGCAGUGAUUAACAUUGAGUAUUAGCGCAAGCUUGACUCAGUUAAAGUAAAAUGGAGCCGGCUAAUCUGGUGCCAGCCGCCGCGGUUACACCACGUGGCUCAAAUUGACCCCCAUCCGGCGUAAAGCGUGAUUAAAGUUUUUAUACACUAGAGCUAAACCAAAACCGAGCUGUGACACGCCCGUUAAUCAAAAACUCAAAAACGAAAGUUGCUCUAAUACAACCAACUUGAAUUCACGACAGCUGGGAAACAAACUGGGAUUAGAUACCCCACUAUGCCCAGCCAUAAACUUUUAUUUACACCCCCUAUAAUCGCCAGGGAACUACGAGCUAAGCUUAAAACCCAAGGGACUUGACGGUACCCCAUAUCCACCUAGAGGAGCCUGUCCUAUAAUCGAUAAUCCACGUUAAACCUCACCAUUUUUAGUCAAUCAGCCUGUAUACCUCCGUCGUCAGCUUACCACGUGAGCGCCAAUUAGUGAGCCUAAUGUUAUUUCACCAACACGUCAGGUCAAGGUGCAGCAAAUGAAAUGGGAAGAGAUGGGCUACACUUUCUAUAUUAGAAAAUACGAAAAACUACUUAUGAAACUUAGUUAGAAGGCGGAUUUAGCAGUAAAGAGGAGUCAGCAUAUCCAUUUUAACCAGGCACUGGGGUGUGUACACACCGCCCGUCACCCUCUUCAAAGCUAUAAACAAAGUCAUUAACCUAUUAAAGCCCAAUAGAAGAGGCAAGUCGUAACAUGGUAAGUAUACCGGAAGGUGUGCUUGGAAA